RNAcentral lists this long non-coding RNA (562 nucleotides) under Actinidia chinensis (golden kiwifruit). RNAcentral describes it as "long non-coding RNA (ACHI_LNC003309)". The record is from RNAcentral. Lineage: Eukaryota; Viridiplantae; Streptophyta; Magnoliopsida; Ericales; Actinidiaceae.
CUAUCUCUCUCUCAGCCCAUUUUGCAGGUUUGUUGUAACUCUUUGGGUUUUCUUCGAAUCACUCAUGGUUUAUCUACGAUUUCGAUUUGCUUGCGCUACAUGAGUUGUGUACGCGGCAUCUGUAGGAGCAGGAUUUGAUUUCUUUAGCAGGAGAAGGAGCAAGAGUUUUAGUUGCGCUGCAGGUUCUCUACGAUUUUGAUUUGGGUUCUUUGUUUUUAACGUUUUCCCAAUUUAAUCUUUUCAUUGAAUCCCACCUAUGUUGCCCACGUUUUUCCAAGCUAUUAGCAAAAAUUUCCUUCAAAUAAUCCAAGCUUUUUAUUUGGUUUUUGACUCGGCAGAAGAGCCUGUCGACUUGACUCUGCAAUGAUUUGGUUAAUUUGAUUUUUGAUGCAUAGUGGGUGUUCCACGAAUUGCCACAGAGAAGGCUUUGCUGGAAACAAACAGAUUCUCAUUCAUAGAACAAACAAGUCCCAAAAAGAUCACUUCCACCUUCGUUUCAGACCAAAGUCGUGAAUAUUCUUGAAGUAUUUUUUUCACAUGCUGUAUUUAUCUUCGUUGUCCU